UGGGGCGUGGCCAAGUUGGUAAGGCAAUGGACUUUGAAUCCAUGUAUCGCACGUUCGAGUCGUGCCGCCCCAG
RNAcentral lists this transfer RNA (73 nucleotides) under Anaerolineae bacterium. RNAcentral describes it as "tRNA-Gln". It matches the Rfam family "tRNA". Rfam says of the family: Transfer RNA (tRNA) molecules are approximately 80 nucleotides in length. Lineage: Bacteria; Bacillati; Chloroflexota; Anaerolineae. The record is from RNAcentral.